UACGGAGGGGGCUAGCGUUGUUCGGAAAUACUGGGCGUAAAGCGCACGUAGGCGGCGCAGCAAGUCAGGGGUGAAAUCCCGGGGCUCAACCCCGGAACUGCCUCUGAAACUGCAGUGCUAGAAUCUUGGAGAGGCGAGUGGAAUUCCGAGUGUAGAGGUGAAAUUCGUAGAUAUUCGGAAGAACACCAGUGGCGAAGGCGACUCGCUGGACACGUAUUGACGCUGAGGUGCGAAAGCGUGGGGAGCAAACAGG
RNAcentral lists this ribosomal RNA (253 nucleotides) under uncultured bacterium. Its description in RNAcentral is "partial 16S ribosomal RNA". It matches the Rfam family "Bacterial small subunit ribosomal RNA", at positions 524 to 776 of the family's 1533-position model. The record is from RNAcentral.